GAGCGGACAGAUGGGAGCUUGCUCCCUGAUGUUAGCGGCGGACGGGUGAGUACACGUGGGUAACCUGCCUGUAAGACUGGGAUAACUCCGGGAAACCGGGGCUAAUACCGGAUGGUUGUUUGAACCGCAUGGUUCAAACAUAAAAGGUGGCUUCGGCUACCACUUACAGAUGGACCCGCGGCGCAUUAGCUAGUUGGUGAGGUAACGGCUCACCAAGGCAACGAUGCGUAGCCGACCUGAGAGGGUGAUCGGCCACACUGGGACUGAGACACGGCCCAGACUCCUACGGGAGGCAGCAGUAGGGAAUCUUCCGCAAUGGACGAAAGUCUGACGGAGCAACGCCGCGUGAGUGAUGAAGGUUUUCGGAUCGUAAAGCUCUGUUGUUAGGGAAGAACAAGUACCGUUCGAAUAGGGCGGUACCUUGACGGUACCUAACCAGAAAGCCACGGCUAACUACGUGCCAGCAGCCGCGGUAAUACGUAGGUGGCAAGCGUUGUCCGGAAUUAUUGGGCGUAAAGGGCUCGCAGGCGGUUUCUUAAGUGUGAUGUGAAAGCCCCCGGCUCAACCGGGGAGAGUCAUUGGGACUGGGAACUGA
RNAcentral lists this ribosomal RNA (595 nucleotides) under Bacillus subtilis. Its description in RNAcentral is "bacterial SSU rRNA". It matches the Rfam family "Bacterial small subunit ribosomal RNA", at positions 64 to 644 of the family's 1533-position model. Lineage: Bacteria; Bacillati; Bacillota; Bacilli; Caryophanales; Bacillaceae. The record is from RNAcentral.